GACGAACGCUGGCGGCGUGCCUAAUACAUGCAAGUUGAGCGCUGAAGGUUGGUACUUGUACCAACUGGAUGAGCAGCGAACGGGUGAGUAACGCGUGGGGAAUCUGCCUUUGAGCGGGGGACAACAUUUGGAAACGAACGCUAAUACCGCAUAAAAACUUUAAACACAAGUUUUAAGUUUGAAAGAUGCAAUUGCAUCACUCAAAGAUGAUCCCGCGUUGUAUUAGCUAGUUGGUGAGGUAAAGGCUCACCAAGGCGAUGAUACAUAGCCGACCUGAGAGGGUGAUCGGCCACAUUGGGACUGAGACACGGCCCAAACUCCUACGGGAGGCAGCAGUAGGGAAUCUUCGACAAUGGACGAAAGUCUGACCGAGCAACGCCGCGUGAGUGAAGAAGGUUUUCGGAUCGUAAAACUCUGUUGGUAGAGAAGAACGUUGGUGAGAGUGGAAAGCUCAUCAAGUGACGGUAACUACCCAGAAAGGGACGGCUAACUACGUG
RNAcentral lists this ribosomal RNA (497 nucleotides) under uncultured bacterium. RNAcentral describes it as "partial 16S ribosomal RNA". It matches the Rfam family "Bacterial small subunit ribosomal RNA", at positions 28 to 507 of the family's 1533-position model. The record is from RNAcentral.